Molecule: long non-coding RNA, 684 nt
Organism: Orbicella faveolata
Lineage: Eukaryota; Metazoa; Cnidaria; Anthozoa; Scleractinia; Merulinidae
Source: RefSeq, a predicted model, not a curated record
UCGUUUCUUGCAGAUCGUUCUGCCAGACUUUGGGAUGUAGAAACAGGGCAGUGUCUUUUAAAAUACUUGGGCCAUAAUGGAUCAGUGAACUCCAUUAGAUUCCACCCAACUGAUGCAAUAAUUUGUACAGGAUCAGGAGAUGGCACAUGUCACAUAUGGAGGGCAUUAGACUCAAAUCCUGAGCAAGUAAGACAUCAAUAAUAUAUAGUGCAACAGAAAGCCUACUGCUUACAGGGCACAGCAAUGAACGUACAUGUGGGAGUCCAUAGGCAAAAUUGUUACAUGUAUGAAAAUUUGUCUGAUGUGUCCAGUGUUUUGAACAUAGAGUUUUGCAACAGCUUUAUGUUUGGAGCAGAUUGCCUGAGUGUCAGAUUUGAUGCAUAACCUUACAACUUAAACUAACUAAGAAUAAUAAAUAAAAAAAAAACAGGAUCUGAUACCUCGAGUGGGCGGGAAGGGGAAGGGUGGCUCAAUUGUGAAAAGGUCACUGGUGAAAAACUUUAAAUUAAGCCCCCAAAAGGAGACCAAUCUGAGCAUGGCUCUAGUUUUGUUUUGACAGCUAUUAUUGGGAUCAUCAAUCAACACUAAUUCUCUUUGGCUGGUACUGAGACUUUUCAUAACUAGGGGGGCCGCUGUAAUUGGCUAAGCUGUAGCGGCUCCCCUGGCCAUUUUGUUUUGUUUUGC